Long non-coding RNA from Chroicocephalus ridibundus (black-headed gull), 419 nucleotides. RefSeq lists it as uncharacterized. The record is from RefSeq and is a predicted model, not a curated record. The transcript has 3 exons. Lineage: Eukaryota; Metazoa; Chordata; Aves; Charadriiformes; Laridae.
CCAAGACGAUUUCUUGCUCUACCUGGACCCCCCACUUCUGCCAGCCGGCCGUGGACACCUCCCGCGAGGGCUUCCCGCUGCAGUCCUUCCACUGCGGAACCCCCCGGAAAAAUGGCUUUCGGGAAGAGGGAUCCCAGUUGCACCAUCGGAUUUUACGCCGGGGGGAGCCCGGCCUGGAGGAGCUCUGCGCCGACCUGGCCCGGGUGCUGGCCCCCCCCACGGCGCCGGAGCGAUACCCCAUUUUCACGCUGGCGGAGGGGCAAGCGCCGGAUCAGGGGCUCGUCCCCCCCCCGCCGCCACCACCACCGCUGCCCCCCCCCAGAAAAACCCCCCACCCCCCAAAAAAAAUCCAUCACCGACGAAUUCGUUUUCCUCUGACCCCACCCCGGGACACCCCCCCCCCCCCACCGAAAUACACU